AGCAAAUGCAAACACUGUUCGUAAGUAUAGGCCCUUUGCAAAUGGCAACUACGUGUAGUAGACAGUGAGACAAUGAUAAUUUUAUUACUAUGCCUUCUGAGUCUGACAAUCUUUAGUACUUAGUAUCAUCCUGUUAAAAUGCUACUUAAAGUAGUAUAUUUUACAAAGCUAUAAAAUCGUCAAAACAAAUGAGAAACAUUUCAAUCUAUAGUUCUGGUAAAACACUUCUCAUUGAACUAUUUUAUUUUGGAGUGAAGUCAACAUCUG
Molecule: long non-coding RNA, 267 nt
Filed under: Bos taurus (domestic cattle)
Lineage: Eukaryota; Metazoa; Chordata; Mammalia; Artiodactyla; Bovidae
Description: long non-coding RNA NONBTAT025271
Source: RNAcentral